Non-coding RNA from Nelumbo nucifera (sacred lotus), 1247 nucleotides. The record is from RefSeq and is a predicted model, not a curated record. Lineage: Eukaryota; Viridiplantae; Streptophyta; Magnoliopsida; Proteales; Nelumbonaceae.
GACCUGAUCUAUCAUCUUCUCCAGCUCGAUCGAACUCACCCAGAGAGCAAAAAGGGGGCAGCCUGAUGUGGAGGAUACGACAGAGAAAAGAGAAAGAGGGCCCUAAUCUGAGGUUCUCCAGGAAAAGCCAGGAGCAGUUCGACGAAAGUGAUUCUGAAGAGAGUAGUUCAGAAGAAGAGUUUGAGUCCCCUAGCUCGGAUGAAAAUUCCUACGGUGAGAGCGAUUAAGACCAAGGCAGAGUCACUGAACAGGUUAUUGAAGAUCUCAACCUAGAAGCUUUCUUCAACCUCCGACUUGACUGUUCCUCUCCUCAAGUUCAGUCGAGCCUCGAACCUACCCGACUCAAGUUCGAUCGGGUAAAAUGGACGAUCUGCACUCAAGGGAGAAGAACCUAGACCAGAUUCAAUCACAGACACAGGGGAAUUUAGUAAUAAAGCAGGAAUAAAGUACCAGAACCAGGUCAAUCCCAAGUGAUUCAGCCGGAUUACUCCCUAACAGAAGCACUUGCAGAGUCGAGUUUUGGGGCUGUGGUCAGAGAUCCCCCCUCGAGUCCUUCCGCCUUAUCCACCCCAGGGGCACAAGGUUUGUCAGUUCAGAAAAUGUCAGAAUGAAUUCGCCUUGGAGUCUCCCAAUGUUGGGGCUGUAGCAAAAGUAGCCAUGAUUACUGGGACUUGGGAUGGAAGAUGGAUAAAGGAAAACCUCUCUAUUUCAUAGAUUGGUUGUGAAGUUGUAAGUUUUAAACAGUAGAGGCUUCACUGUGUUUGAGGAAUGCUGAGUGGGGCUCUUAGUAUAUUUCUAUAGUCUUUCCUUCUAUGUAAUAUUUCAGCCAUGAAACAUUUGUGGGGAAUAUCUACAACAUCUGCCGCUUGCUCUGCUCCCAUACAUGCUGGUUCGCAGGGUUACAGAGGAAAGGUAAAAAGCUGGUAGUGGGCACCCUUUUCAUGGAGUGAAUCCAAAGGCCUUGGGACCAAGGAAUAGGGCGUGGGGGACACACAUCUCUAAUCUGAGACAACCAGAUGAAAUCAGGGAGAUCUGUGAAGCCGUGUGCUAUCAUUGUCGGCCAUUUGUAAAGUGGGGAGUUUAGGUAGGUAGGGUUAUGCUCUGAGGAACUGGAUGCAACCCUAGGAAAGUUGGUUUGCUUGAAGCCCUUUUUCCACUGAGCCUCAGUUUGCUAAAAAUGUAAUAAUAAAAGAACAACUUUAUGUUACAGAAAUAUAUAUAUUCCACUAUCGGUGUCAUAAAAUGCA